This 442-nucleotide ribosomal RNA is filed under the name uncultured bacterium. RNAcentral describes it as "partial 16S ribosomal RNA". It matches the Rfam family "Bacterial small subunit ribosomal RNA", at positions 338 to 795 of the family's 1533-position model. The record is from RNAcentral.
CCUACGGGUGGCUGCAGUAGGGAAUCUUUCACAAUGGGCGAAAGCCUGAUGGAGCAACGCCGCGUGCAGGAUGAAGGCCUUCGGGUUGUAAACUGCUUUUAUAAGCGAGAAAUAUGAUGGUAACUUAUGAAUAAGGAUCGGCUAACUACGUGCCAGCAGCCGCGGUCAUACGUAGGAUCCGAGCAUUAUCCGGAGUGACUGGGUGUAAGGAGUUGCGUAGGUGGCAUAAUAAGUAGCUAGUGAAAUCGGGUGGCUCAACCAUUCAGACUAUUAGCUAAACUGUUAAGCGCGAGACCGUUAGGGGUAACUGGAAUUUCUAGUGUAGGAGUGAAAUCCGUAGAUAUUAGAAGGAACACCAAUAGCGUAGGCAGGUUACUGGGACGGUUCUGACACUAAGGCACGAAAGCGUAGGGAGCAAACGGGAUUAGAUACCCGGGUAGUC